CAGUCGUACUUACGGGUAAUCAGCCUUUUGGGUGUGAUUUUGUGGAGCGUGAGGAGUUAAACGCCUUCAUGCCUGCAUAUUCGUGCACUUUGGGUGUACUUGCUCGUGUGGUUGGUUAACAUCAAUUUCGGACGCCAUAAAAUGGCUGGAGGAAUGUAGCUUCGAUCUCGUAUUGAAGUGUUUAAGCCUUCGGUAGAUUGUGGUGAUCGAGAUUGAGGAUU
This 221-nucleotide ribosomal RNA is filed under the name Rhizophagus irregularis. Lineage: Eukaryota; Fungi; Glomeromycota; Glomeromycetes; Glomerales; Glomeraceae. The record is from RNAcentral.